RNAcentral lists this ribosomal RNA (224 nucleotides) under uncultured bacterium. Its description in RNAcentral is "partial 16S ribosomal RNA". It matches the Rfam family "Bacterial small subunit ribosomal RNA", at positions 524 to 746 of the family's 1533-position model. The record is from RNAcentral.
GACAGAGGGUGCAAACGUUGUUCGGAAUUACUGGGCGUAAAGCGUGUGUAGGCGGCUACGUAAGUCGGAUGUGAAAGCCCCAGGCUCAACCUGGGAAGCUGCGCUCGAUACUGCGUAGCUUGAGUAUCGGAGAGGUUGGUGGAAUUCUCGGUGUAGAGGUGAAAUUCGUAGGUAUCGAGAAGGAACACCGGUGGCGAAGGCGGCCAACUGGACGAUACUGACGC